GUAGGUGGCAAGCGUUGUCCGGAAUUAUUGGGCGUAAAGCGCGCGCAGGCGGUCCUUUAAGUCUGAUGUGAAAGCCCACGGCUCAACCGUGGAGGGUCAUUGGAAGCUGGGGGACUUGAGUACAGAAGAGGAAAGCGGAAUUCCAAGUGUAGCGGUGAAAUGCGUAGAGAUUUGGAGGAACACCAGUGGCGAAGGCGGCUUUCUGGUCUGUAACUGACGCUGAGGCGCGAAAGCGUGGGGAGCAAACAGGGAUUAGAUACCCUGGUAGUCCACGCCGUAAACGAUGAGUGCUAAGUGUUAGGGGGUUUCCCGCCCCUUAGUGCUGCGGCUAACGCAUUAAGCACUCCGCCUGGGGAGUACGGCCGCAAGGCUG
RNAcentral lists this ribosomal RNA (373 nucleotides) under uncultured organism. RNAcentral's name for it is "partial 16S ribosomal RNA". It matches the Rfam family "Bacterial small subunit ribosomal RNA", at positions 527 to 896 of the family's 1533-position model. The record is from RNAcentral.